AAGGAUCAUUACAAGUGAGGCUAUCGACCGUUGGAAACGGCGGUUAGAAGCUUACACCCACCCGUGUUUACAUACUAUUGUUGCUUUGGCGGGCCGUGGCCUCCACUGCGGGCUCUGCUCGUGUGUGCCCGCCAGAGGACCAAAUUCUGAAUGUUAGUGAUGUCCGAGUACUAUUUAAUAGUUAAAACUUUCAACAACGGAUCUCUUGGUUCUGGCAUCGAUGAAGAACGCAGCGAAAUGCGAUAAGUAAUGUGAAUUGCAGAAUUCAGUGAAUCAUCGAAUCUUUGAACGCACAUUGCGCCCUGUGGUAUUCCGCAGGGCAUGCCUGUUCGAGCGUCAUUUAACCACUCAAGCCUGGCUUGGUAUUGGGGCACGCAGUCUCGCGGCCCUCAAAAUCAAUGGCGGCGCUGGUGGGCUCUAAGCGUAGUACAUACUCCCGCUAUAGAGUUCCCCUGGUAGCUUGCCAGAACCCCCAAUUUUUACAGGUUGACCUCGGAUCAGGUAGGGAUACCCGCUGAACUUAA
RNAcentral lists this ribosomal RNA (524 nucleotides) under fungal sp. R28. RNAcentral describes it as "eukaryotic LSU rRNA". The stretch from base 186 to 339 matches the Rfam family "5.8S ribosomal RNA". Lineage: Eukaryota; Fungi. The record is from RNAcentral.